RNAcentral lists this transfer RNA (77 nucleotides) under Pseudomonadota bacterium. Its description in RNAcentral is "tRNA-Arg". It matches the Rfam family "tRNA". From Rfam's summary of the family: Transfer RNA (tRNA) molecules are approximately 80 nucleotides in length. Their secondary structure includes four short double-helical elements and three loops (D, anti-codon, and T loops). Further hydrogen bonds mediate the characteristic L-shaped molecular structure. tRNAs have two regions of fundamental functional importance: the anti-codon, which is responsible for specific mRNA codon recognition, and the 3' end, to which the tRNAs corresponding amino acid is attached (by aminoacyl-tRNA synthetases). tRNAs cope with the degeneracy of the genetic code in two manners: having more than one tRNA (with a specific anti-codon) for a particular amino acid; and 'wobble' base-pairing, i.e. permitting non-standard base-pairing at the 3rd anti-codon position. Lineage: Bacteria; Pseudomonadati; Pseudomonadota. The record is from RNAcentral. RNAcentral also lists the same sequence under 1 other name.
GCGCCCAUAGCUCAAUUGGAUAGAGCAUCAGUCUACGGAACUGAGGGUUGGUGGUUCGACUCCACCUGGGCGCACCA